RNAcentral lists this ribosomal RNA (260 nucleotides) under uncultured bacterium. RNAcentral's name for it is "partial 16S ribosomal RNA". It matches the Rfam family "Bacterial small subunit ribosomal RNA", at positions 1122 to 1381 of the family's 1533-position model. The record is from RNAcentral.
CACGUUAUGGUGGGCACUCUAAGGAGACUGCCGGUGACAAACCGGAGGAAGGUGGGGAUGACGUCAAGUCAUCAUGGCCCUUACGGCCUGGGCUACACACGUGCUACAAUGGUCGGUACAAAGGGUUGCCAAGCCGCGAGGUGGAGCUAAUCCCAUAAAACCGAUCGUAGUCCGGAUCGCAGUCUGCAACUCGACUGCGUGAAGUCGGAAUCGCUAGUAAUCGCGAAUCAGAAUGUCGCGGUGAAUACGUUCCCGGGCCU